GUGCCAUGUGAGGACACUGCUGGAAGGCACCAUCUAUGAAGCAGAGAGUCGGCCCUCAUCAGACACCAAAUCUACUGCCACCUCUGUCUCGGGCUUCCCAGCCUCCAGAACUGGAAUUAUUGGAACGCCGCCUCUUUCCCAAACCCAUCCUCCUACCUACACUUCUCUACUUUCCAAGGGGAAACCAGCGCUGACAUUUCUUUCUACUUCAAAACAUUAACCCCCUGGGGAGUGUUUCUUGAAAAUAUGGGAAAGGAAGAUUUCAUCAAGCUGGAGCUGAAGUCUGCCACAGAAGUGUCCUUUUCAUUUGAUGUGGGAAAUGGGCCAGUAGAGAUUGUAGUGAGGUCACCAACCCCUCUCAACGAUGACCAGUGGCACCGGGUCACUGCAGAGAGGAAUGUCAAGCAGGCCAGCCUACAGGUGGACCGGCUACCCCAGCAGAUCCGCAAGGCCCCAACAGAAGGCCACACCCGCCUGGAGCUCUACAGCCAGUUAUUUGUGGGUGGUGCUGGGGGCCAGCAGGGCUUCCUGGGCUGCAUCCGCUCCUUGAGGAUGAAUGGGGUGACACUUGACCUGGAGGAAAGAGCAAAGGUCACAUCUGGGUUCAUAUCCGGAUGCUCGGGCCAUUGCACCAGCUAUGGAACAAACUG
This 650-nucleotide small RNA is filed under the name Pan troglodytes (chimpanzee). Its description in RNAcentral is "processed transcript". The record is from RNAcentral. Lineage: Eukaryota; Metazoa; Chordata; Mammalia; Primates; Hominidae.